AUCCUUCUUAGGUCAAUGGGUAUGAUGAGUGGAUAGUCAUGCCUGUGCGUGACAGGUGUCAUCCCCCCAUUGUUACGCAAUCGGCACCUGAGCCUUCUGACC
Molecule: non-coding RNA, 102 nt
Organism: Branchiostoma floridae (Florida lancelet)
Lineage: Eukaryota; Metazoa; Chordata; Leptocardii; Amphioxiformes; Branchiostomatidae
Source: Rfam